AGACUUCCUUUUGGGAACAGGAUUUUGGGUAGAGGUCCUUUCUUAAAGUGCUGGUGAGCAAGGCCUGAAAAGUUGCCUGGCUUUGAGAUGUGAGCCAUGAAAGGAGCACUUCCUUCCAAGUGUCUGCUGGCAUAGGUACCUCAGCCUGGGGUCUGAGCAGACCCUCGGUUCUUCAUUCAUGUAGUUGCUUUUUGAGGAGGGGAGUGCACAAAGGGGCAAACCCCUGCCCUACAACUCCUUCAACUAUUCGUUGCUCAAGUUGGGGGAAAAGAAGUGUGUGAGAGCCUGUUCCCUGGGACCGAGACUCCAUCUGCAGGCAGGAGCAUGCCACUCUCUACCGAGAGCCACAACGACCUCCGUGCAGCAUCGAGCCCUUUAGGUCUUGAGUGACACUACUGAAAUCCCCCAGUUUCUCAGUGCACAGAAGUAUAUCUAUCCCUCCCAAAACCUAAAUAAGAGUAAUACGAAAUCAAAUUGUAUGGGUACCUCAUGAAUUUUACUUCCAUGACCUAGGCACCUUUAAGUGCUAGCAGGCAACAUAUAUGGGGGGUUAUAUGUGUAAAUAUGUGUGCUUACUGGUGAGAGAAUAACACUAAGGAAGUAUGGCUGCAGGUUAGUGAGAAAAGCAAUUAAAUCCUGUGGCCACAGCACCUACAUGUCAGGGAUAUGUUGAUGAUAAUGGUUUGCUGGGAACAGGAGCCUUAAAAUUCUACAUCUAGCUUUGUUGGUGAACUACCAUAGGCAGAGUGCAUGUCCCCAGCUGAAAGGUAGAGGUAAUGAUGCUUUGCAAAUGUCUAAGAAAAAAGGCAGCCAACUUCCAGUGCUUUCAUUUUAGAGGGAUUAAAAAUACAGUCACUCUUCUACCUGCUCUGCAGUUAUAAAUUCCUUUAGUUUGUAUAAUCUUCAGGAUACUGAGAGAAGAGUGAGGAAGUAAAACACCAGCCAUAAGUUUGGAAUGAUUGAUUAAUGUUUUCCAUUAAGUAGCUCAUAAACCAGUAGCAAUUAUAAGAAAAAGUAUUUGGACAUUAAAGAUUUUUGGAUAUUCUAAGUUUUUUUUUUGGUGAAGAGUCCUAAUAGGUAAAAAAGCCUGGUAGAAUAUUUGUGUACUGUAAACUACUCCCAUAAAACCAGACAUGAGUACCAUGUUUAGGAAAGAAUAAAUCCUUAUGUGACAACACUUUCAUUUAGACUGGGAGAGUCCUCUUAAGAUCAUCUAUACCAGCCUCAGUGCUCAAACAGAUAAGCUAAGUUGUUCAGGCAACCUCUCUGGUCAACCUGUGGCAGUGUUUGAAUCUUCUAAUGUUAAAAAAAUAAAUCACGUUCUUGUGUUCAGAUGGAA
Long non-coding RNA from Parus major (Great Tit), 1339 nucleotides. RefSeq lists it as uncharacterized. Lineage: Eukaryota; Metazoa; Chordata; Aves; Passeriformes; Paridae. The record is from RefSeq and is a predicted model, not a curated record. The transcript has 2 exons.